This is a non-coding RNA of Guyanagaster necrorhizus, 95 nucleotides long. Lineage: Eukaryota; Fungi; Basidiomycota; Agaricomycetes; Agaricales; Physalacriaceae. The record is from the annotation of a RefSeq genome assembly.
UUUCUUUUAGCUCAGUUGGUAGAGUGCAUCACUAGUAUACUUAGUCAUUGGUGUGAUUUAUGAUGAGGUCAGUUGUUCAAGUCUGCUAAAGAAAA